AGCAGUUCUGUGAGCUGGCGGAGCCUGGCGUCUGCCUGCGUGACGUGGAGGAACCGCAGGCGGCGACCGCGGACAGAAUGUCCUCGUGAGUCCUCAUACAACCUAUCCUUAGGCGGUAACAGGCUGCAGCUGUUGAAGUCUAAUUUCACUCUAUUGAUUGCCAUGUAAGACAUGCCUGUGCCUGCUUCCCCUUCGCCUUCUGCCAUGACUGAAAGUUUCCUAAGGCCUCCUCAGAAGCCGAGCAGAUGCCAGCAUCACGCUUCCUCUAAAGCCUGUGGAACCAUGAGCCAAGGUUUUUCAUGGGCCGAUCUGCUGAAUUCAGCCUAGGAGCUGAGGCCAACAUCUGAGUCUCUUCAGCAUACAAGUUUGAAAGAAGUCCUAGCAACUUCAAGCUCAGAACUACGGGUGGCAGCAGCUCCUUCUUGACGUCGAAGCCUCCCAUUCCAGAGAGAGUCAAGGCCCGGAUCAAAAAAAGCCCACAAGCACCGAUGACUGAGCUGCUGACUACCCCAGCAUCUCCAACUCAACCUCCUCUUUCUGCCUCUACCCAAAUUUUAAAACUUUUAAACAUGGGUUUAAAAAUGGUAAUGAGUAAAGUUGCAUCCAAGUGUAUCAAAUAAAAUUAAAUAUCCAUAAAUGCUGUAAUAAUUCCUGCUUUGAUGCUGAACUAAAGAAUUUUCUGCUGGGCGCGGUGGCUCAUGCCUGUAAUCCCAGCACUUUGGGAGGCCAAGGCAGGUGGAUCACGAGGUCAGGAGUUCAAGACCUGCCUGGCCAACGUGGUGAAACCCCAUCUCUACUAAAAAUACAAAAAUUAGCUGGGCAUGGUGGCAGGCAUCUGUAGUCCCAGCUACUCAGGAGGCUGAGGCAGAAGAAUCACUUGAACCCGGGAGACAGAGGUUGUAGUGAGCCAAGAUGGCACCACUGCACUCCAUCCUGGGCAACAAGCGAGAUUCCAUCUCAAAAGAAAAAAAAAAAGAAUUUUCUGUUUAUAUUACAUAUAGUCUCACUUCAUAUUUCAUUUCUCUCACCUCUGAUACCUGGAGUCCUUGGCUAGUACUGAAAUUGAGUAAAGUCAUUCUCAUGAGUUUUAGUAAAGUCAAAACUCAAAACUCAUGAAGUUGGCAAAACUCAAAGAAUGCUUUGGUCUAGUUUGACAUUGGCCAGUAUGUUUUUCAUAUCCAGUCAUUCCUUUUUUCCUGGCUGACAUCCUCACUUCCUGCCUGUGGAGGAAAAGUUAAAUAUUAAAUUUGAACUCAAUUGAAUGUGGACACAAACAAUGGUCACCAAGUCCGGGAACAGGUUGUGUGAGUCCCUUGAGGCAUUUAUCCUGCCCUGUUUCGGAGAAAUCUCUAUUUCAAACUAUUCCUAUGUGUUACUUACUGAAAAACAACAGACAAUCACAAAAACAAGUUGACCUUUUUGUGUUCCUUGAGCCCAGUCACAAAGGGCCCUCAUGACUGGGCCUCAUGCCAAACAACUUGUUACAAAAAGAGCUAGGGUCCCAGACCGCACCAAAGCCCCAUGAGACCUCUCCUCAUCUGUGCACGGACUGGUGGCCGACUCUGGAGCCCAGGCUGUUGCUUCCUGGUCUGGUGAUGAAUCCUCCAUAGUCUGGUGAGUGUAAAUAUAUAUAUACAUAUAUAUCUUUUCCCGUCUCCCCUUCCCAUUGCAAUUUUCUUAUUAUAUCAUUUGCUUAUUAUAUGUGUAUUGCGAUAUACUUGGG
This 1723-nucleotide long non-coding RNA is filed under the name Pan troglodytes (chimpanzee). Its description in RNAcentral is "long non-coding RNA NONPTRT017857". Lineage: Eukaryota; Metazoa; Chordata; Mammalia; Primates; Hominidae. The record is from RNAcentral.